AGAGUUUGAUCCUGGCUCAGGACGAACGCUGGCGGCGUGCUUAACACAUGCAAGUCGAACGGAAAGGCCCUUCGGGGUACUCGAGUGGCGAACGGGUGAGUAACACGUGGGUGAUCUGCCCUGCACUUUGGGAUAAGCCUGGGAAACUGGGUCUAAUACCGAAUAUGACCAUGCACUUCCUGGUGUGUGGCGGAAAGCUUUUGCGGUGUGGGAUGGGCCCGCGGCCUAUCAGCUUGUUGGUGGGGUAAUGGCCUACCAAGGCGACGACGGGUAGCCGGCCUGAGAGGGUGACCGGCCACACUGGGACUGAGAUACGGCCCAGACUCCUACGGGAGGCAGCAGUGGGGAAUAUUGCACAAUGGGCGCAAGCCUGAUGCAGCGACGCCGCGUGAGGGAUGACGGCCUUCAGGUUGUAAACCUCUUUCAGCACAGACGAAGCGCAAGUGACGGUAUGUGCAGAAGAAGGACCGGCCAACUACGUGCCAGCAGCCGCGGUAAUACGUAGGGUCCGAGCGUUGUCCGGAAUUACUGGGCGUAAAGAGCUCGUAGGUGGUUUGUCGCGUUGUUCGUGAAAACUCACAGCUUAACUGUGGGCGUGCGGGCGAUACGGGCAGACUUGAGUACUGCAGGGGAGACUGGAAUUCCUGGUGUAGCGGUGGAAUGCGCAGAUAUCAGGAGGAACACCGGUGGCGAAGGCGGGUCUCUGGGCAGUAACUGACGCUGAGGAGCGAAAGCGUGGGGAGCGAACAGGAUUAGAUACCCUGGUAGUCC
RNAcentral lists this ribosomal RNA (771 nucleotides) under uncultured bacterium. Its description in RNAcentral is "bacterial SSU rRNA". It matches the Rfam family "Bacterial small subunit ribosomal RNA", at positions 8 to 796 of the family's 1533-position model. The record is from RNAcentral.